RNAcentral lists this ribosomal RNA (308 nucleotides) under Klebsiella pneumoniae. RNAcentral's name for it is "partial 23S ribosomal RNA". It matches the Rfam family "Bacterial large subunit ribosomal RNA", at positions 1 to 305 of the family's 2925-position model. The record is from RNAcentral. Lineage: Bacteria; Pseudomonadati; Pseudomonadota; Gammaproteobacteria; Enterobacterales; Enterobacteriaceae.
GGGUUGUGAGGUUAAGCGACUAAGCGUACACGGUGGAUGCCCUGGCAGUCAGAGGCGAUGAAGGACGUGCUAAUCUGCGAAAAGCGUCGGUAAGGUGAUAUGAACCGUUAUAACCGGCGAUGUCCGAAUGGGGAAACCCAGUGCAAUUCGUUGCACUAUCGUUAACUGAAUACAUAGGUUAACGAGGCGAACCGGGGGAACUGAAACAUCUAAGUACCCCGAGGAAAAGAAAUCAACCGAGAUUCCCCCAGUAGCGGCGAGCGAACGGGGAGCAGCCCAGAGUCUGAAUCAGCUUGUGUGUUAGUGGA